GCUGACUGACACUAAACCUAGCACAGUCUCCCACCCCCCUGGUCGAGUACGCUGAGCUUCGCCUGCUCAGUCACUGAGUGGCCUUGAGCUCAUUGUUGACGCCAGGGGCACCUGUUUGAUGUUGCACUCUCCACGCCAUACCAGUGCUCUGGAGCCCCGUUUCAAGGAGCCAGACUGGAACCAGCCCUUCUCUGUCCACAAGCGUCUCCUCGGAUCCCAGGGUCCGUACUGCUGUGACGUCAUCUGGAGUAACUUGCUCCUGAUCCUGCCAUCACGAGAGCUUCACCAGGAAGGAGCCCACCAGAGGUGGGGUCAGCGUGACGGGCCCACUGUCCUGGAGGGGCUCUGGAAGCCCCAGUGGACCCUGACCACUAGCACUCAUUUCCUCUGACACACACUGAACCUACGCUGUUUACAGCAGCGCUCAGGCUGCUGAAGGUGGUCAGUUAGGACAAGCCUGACUCAAAAUCACGGCUCCACACUGUAGCCUACACCGAUCUUCACAUUGAAUCCCUUGUGUCGGGGGUGGCGGGAGCCCCUUCCCCAAUCUUUCUCACUCCUGUCUCUUAAAGAGAAGCGAACCAUUAGUGCCUGGCCCGGGUACUGCCUCCGGGAGGAGAAACGACAUGUUAAGCAGUUGAUAUCAAGAACUCUUAAGUAAGGCGGCGAUUGUCUCUGCCAGUUUUCAACAUUAAGAUUUUCACAAAUUGCCUGGGGUAACAUUUUGCAAAAGAUCUACUGAUUCGUAGUAUCGUUCACAC
This is a long non-coding RNA of Bos taurus (domestic cattle), 761 nucleotides long. The record is from Ensembl. Lineage: Eukaryota; Metazoa; Chordata; Mammalia; Artiodactyla; Bovidae.